This is a long non-coding RNA of Balaenoptera musculus (blue whale), 1564 nucleotides long. RefSeq lists it as uncharacterized. Lineage: Eukaryota; Metazoa; Chordata; Mammalia; Artiodactyla; Balaenopteridae. The transcript has 3 exons. The record is from RefSeq and is a predicted model, not a curated record.
GUUAUUUUUUAGAGCCUUGCAGUUGGUUCCUUGGAGCAUGUCCACAGCUUUUGCUUUGGGGAGGAAUUGAGUCGGCAGGAGGAAGGCAAGGACGUGGCCCAGCCCCAGGAGCUAAGAUGAAAACAGACUAACUCACAGUCACCUUCUCAACUUCACAGUAAAGGGAGAAAAGCUGGGCAGAAAGGCUGGCCGAGAGCAACAUAAGAGCAGAAUGCAGUGCUGAGCUGCCCUGGUUCUACUUCUGCCUCUUGCUGGAUUAUCGUAAUGUGCUUGGCCUGUGCCCUCUGGACCCAACUUCACACCCUGUGUCAGCAUCCACUGCCACCAGGAAAGGGAGGGACGGUAUCAUUAAGUGGACGCCUCGUAUGUGCCAGGUGCUGUGCCAGGUUCUCUACGUCGGAAUAUGUCUCAUAGUUGAGGAAACAAGCACAGAGAAGUUGAGUAACUUGCUUAAGGUCACACAGCUAGUGAGUGGUAAACAGGAGAUCAUGCAGCUCAAAAGCAGCCUGACUGCAAAGCCCACUCUGCCCCACUGCCCUGCGUGGUCCUCAGCAAGGCUGUGACGUGGAGACGAAACGCACUGAGUGAGAUCACUUGGCUAAAGCGGGGGCUGCUGACUUGGGCAACAAGGUCCCCUGCAUCUGCACCCGCAGCCUGACCGCUCGGGAAGCUGGUCUUUAAGACCAUCACAUUCCUCCCUAAAGCUUUCCAGCCCCUGAGCUGGAAGAAUCCUUAGGGCAGCACUGAGUUCCCAGCUCAACUUUAAUGUUCUUGAAAGUGCAGGGACCUUGCAAACCAGCCUGCAGCGCCCUCUGCCCGUAAAUGGACAGAAGGUAUCCGUGCGGAGAGACCAGCACAAUACCGAAACAGGCCUGCAGGCCGGUGCUGUUUGUCCUCCUCCGUGACCUCUAGGCCCCUGGGGAGGUGGGGCCGCCCCCCCACCCCGAGUAGUAGCCUCUGGGGUUUCGUUCAAGCCCGCCUGUUGGAGAAACAGGAGGGGAGAUGGCUCGGGGUGAAGGGGCUGCUGUAGGCAAGCGGGGCUCUCACAGAGCAGUCGUCCCGCAGCGGGCGGGGAUCUGACCUCCAUCAAGGGAGUAGAGAGGCAGAAACUCUGGCUGAAGGCGGGUGACUGUCCAUGUCGAGCUUAGAGUGAGGAGGAAAGGAGCCGCUUCUGGCAAACAGGAGGCUGCGGCAUGGCCUCGUUUCCUUUGGUGCACGGGCACCGUAUGCGCGCGGAAGUGCAGUGCCCUGGGGGCUGCAGCGUCAGGGGUCCAAUCCUGGAGGCCUCCAGUAGGUGGCCAGGGCCUCGCAUGCUUGGGGAGCCAAGGGCGAGGGGAGGGGGGCACAGGAUGGGGCUCAGGCCACUCCCCAAGACCGAGCAUCCGGAUGGGAUGCCAGCCGCGGACUCUGGCUGGAGCCCUGGGCUGGGCCUGUACCUGGGCGUCAGGUGGGCCCACAGAGGCCAAGGUUGGAGCGGCUGAAAGGGCCGAUGUGGGGAGCAGGGGCCCAAAGGACCUCCGUCCCAUCAGGGGGACAGUGAGUGCGGGGCUCAAGGGCGGCAGGG